AUUGAACGCUGGCGGAAUGCUUUACACAUGCAAGUCGAGCGGCAGCGCGGGGCAACCUGGCGGCGAGCGGCGAACGGGUGAGUAAUACAUCGGAACGUGCCCAGACGUGGGGGGAUAACUACUCGAAAGAGUGGCUAAUACCGCAUACGAUUUAAGGAUGAAAGCGGGGGAUCGCAAGACCUCGCGCGUCUGGAGCGGCUGAUGGCAGAUUAGGUAGUUGGUGGGGUAAAGGCCUACCAAGCCUGCGAUCUGUAGCUGGUCUGAGAGGAUGAUCAGCCACACUGGGACUGAGACACGGCCCAGACUCCUACGGGAGGCAGCAGUGGGGAAUUUUGGACAAUGGGCGAAAGCCUGAUCCAGCCAUUCCGCGUGCAGGAUGAAGGCCCUCGGGUUGUAAACUGCUUUUGUACUAGAACGAAAAAGCUCCGGCUAAUACCUGGAGUCCAUGACGGUACUGUAAGAAUAAGCACCGGCUAACUACGUGCCAGCAGCCG
This 494-nucleotide ribosomal RNA is filed under the name uncultured bacterium. RNAcentral describes it as "bacterial SSU rRNA". It matches the Rfam family "Bacterial small subunit ribosomal RNA", at positions 30 to 517 of the family's 1533-position model. The record is from RNAcentral.